Molecule: ribosomal RNA, 621 nt
Filed under: Clostridioides difficile
Lineage: Bacteria; Bacillati; Bacillota; Clostridia; Peptostreptococcales; Peptostreptococcaceae
Description: bacterial SSU rRNA
Rfam family: Bacterial small subunit ribosomal RNA
Source: RNAcentral
CUCAAAGGAAUUGACGGGGACCCGCACAAGUAGCGGAGCAUGUGGUUUAAUUCGAAGCAACGCGAAGAACCUUACCUAAGCUUGACAUCCCAAUGACAUCUCCUUAAUCGGAGAGUUCCCUUCGGGGACAUUGGUGACAGGUGGUGCAUGGUUGUCGUCAGCUCGUGUCGUGAGAUGUUGGGUUAAGUCCCGCAACGAGCGCAACCCUUGUCUUUAGUUGCCAUCAUUAAGUUGGGCACUCUAGAGAGACUGCCAGGGAUAACCUGGAGGAAGGUGGGGAUGACGUCAAAUCAUCAUGCCCCUUAUGCUUAGGGCUACACACGUGCUACAAUGGGUAGUACAGAGGGUUGCCAAGCCGUAAGGUGGAGCUAAUCCCUUAAAGCUACUCUCAGUUCGGAUUGUAGGCUGAAACUCGCCUACAUGAAGCUGGAGUUACUAGUAAUCGCAGAUCAGAAUGCUGCGGUGAAUGCGUUCCCGGGUCUUGUACACACCGCCCGUCACACCACGGGAGUUGGAGACGCCCGAAGCCGAUUAUCUAACCUUUUGGAAGAAGUCGUCGAAGGUGGAAUCAAUAACUGGGGUGAAGUCGUAACAAGGUAGCCGUAUCGGAAGGUGCGGCUG